Molecule: ribosomal RNA, 478 nt
Filed under: uncultured bacterium
Lineage: Bacteria
Description: bacterial SSU rRNA
Rfam family: Bacterial small subunit ribosomal RNA
Source: RNAcentral
GGACGAACGCUGGCGGCGUGCCUAACACAUGCAAGUCGAACGGACGAGGGGAGCUUGCUCCCCGAGUUAGUGGCGGACGGGUGAGUAACACGUGAGCAACCUGCCCUUCGAGGGGGACAACAGCUGGAAACGGCUGCUAAUACCGCAUGAUGUAUUCUGGAGGCAUCUCCGGGAUACCAAAGAUUUUAUCGCCGAAGGAUGGGCUCGCGUCUGAUUAGAUAGUUGGCGGGGUAACGGCCCACCAAGUCAACGAUCAGUAGCCGGACUGAGAGGUUGAACGGCCACAUUGGGACUGAGAUACGGCCCAGACUCCUACGGGAGGCAGCAGUGGGGAAUAUUGGGCAAUGGGGGCAAAACCCCCUGACCCAGCAACGCCGCGUGAAGGAAGAAGGCUUUCGGGUUGUAAACUUCUUUGACGAGGGACGAUAGUGACGGUACCUCGAAAACAAGCCACGGCUAACUACGUGCCAGCAGCAGC